RNAcentral lists this non-coding RNA (28 nucleotides) under Homo sapiens (human). The record is from RNAcentral. Lineage: Eukaryota; Metazoa; Chordata; Mammalia; Primates; Hominidae.
UCCACUGCCUUGGCAACCUUCACGAUGC